Molecule: ribosomal RNA, 1444 nt
Filed under: Staphylococcus rostri
Lineage: Bacteria; Bacillati; Bacillota; Bacilli; Caryophanales; Staphylococcaceae
Description: bacterial LSU rRNA
Rfam family: Bacterial large subunit ribosomal RNA
Source: RNAcentral
AGAUUAAGUUAUUAAGGGCGCACGGUGAAUACCUUGGCACUAGAAGCCGAAGAAGGACGUUACUAACGACGAUAUGCUUUGGGGAGCUGUAAGUAAGCUGUGAUCCAGAGAUUUCCGAAUGGGGAAACCCAGCACGAGUUAUGUCGUGUUAUCUGCAUGUGAAUACAUAGCAUGUAAGAAGGCAGACCCGGAGAACUGAAACAUCUUAGUACCCGGAGGAAGAGAAAGAAAAAUCGAUUCCCUGAGUAGCGGCGAGCGAAACGGGAAGAGCCCAAACCAACAAGCUUGCUUGUUGGGGUUGUAGGACACUCUAUACGGAGUUACAAAGGCACAUGUUAGACGAAUAACCUGGAAAGGUUAAUCAUAGAAGGUAAUAAUCCUGUAGUCGAAAAUGUGUGCUCUCUUGAGUGGAUCCUGAGUACGACGGAGCACGUGAAAUUCCGUCGGAAUCUGGGAGGACCAUCUCCUAAGGCUAAAUACUCUCUAGUGACCGAUAGUGAACCAGUACCGUGAGGGAAAGGUGAAAAGUACCCCGGAAGGGGAGUGAAAGAGAACUUGAAACCGUGUGCUUACAAGUAGUCAGAGCCCGUUAAUGGGUGAUGGCGUGCCUUUUGUAGAAUGAACCGGCGAGUUACGAUCUGAUGCAAGGUUAAGCAGAAAAUGUGGAGCCGUAGCGAAAGCGAGUCUGAAUAGGGCGAAUGAGUAUUUGGUCGUAGACCCGAAACCAGGUGAUCUACCCUUGGUCAGGUUGAAGUUCAGGUAACACUGAAUGGAGGACCGAACCGACUUACGUUGAAAAGUGAGCGGAUGAACUGAGGGUAGCGGAGAAAUUCCAAUCGAACUUGGAGAUAGCUGGUUCUCUCCGAAAUAGCUUUAGGGCUAGCCUCAAGUGAUGAUUAUUGGAGGUAGAGCACUGUUUGGACGAGGGGCCCCUCUCGGGUUACCGAAUUCAGACAAACUCCGAAUGCCAAAUAAUUUAACUUGGGAGUCAGAAUGUGGGUGAUAAGGUCCAUAUUCGAAAGGGAAACAGCCCAGACCACCAGCUAAGGUCCCAAAAUAUAUGUUAAGUGGAAAAGGAUGUGGCGUUGCCCAGACAACUAGGAUGUUGGCUUAGAAGCAGCCAUCAUUUAAAGAGUGCGUAAUAGCUCACUAGUCGAGUGACACUGCGCCGAAAAUGUACCGGGGCUAAACAUAUUACCGAAGCUGUGGAUUGUCCGUAGGACAAUGGUAGGAGAGCGUUCUAAGGGCGUUGAAGCAUGAUCGCAAGGACAUGUGGAGCGCUUAGAAGUGAGAAUGCCGGUGUGAGUAGCGAAAGACGGGUGAGAAUCCCGUCCACCGAUUGACUAAGGUUUCCAGAGGAAGGCUCGUCCGCUCUGGGUUAGUCGGGUCCUAAGCUGAGGCCGACAGGCGUAGGCGAUGGAUAACAGGUUGAUAUUCCUGUACC